AAACAUGACUGAAAUCUCCUUGAGGAGCAUAAUGUGGAGGGUGGGCCCUAAUCCAAUCUGUCAUUAUAAGAAGAGGAAAUUUGGACACAAAAAGAGACACCAGGGGCGUAUGUACACAGAGAAAAGAUCACGUGAGGACACAGAGAGGUCUGCAAACCAAGAAGAGAAGCCUCAGAAGAAACAAAACCAGCCAACCCCUUGAUCUUGGACUUGUAGCUUCCAGAAUUGUGAGGAAAUAAAUUUCUGUUUUAAAGCCACUCCAUUUUUGUUAUUUUG
Molecule: long non-coding RNA, 276 nt
Filed under: Homo sapiens (human)
Lineage: Eukaryota; Metazoa; Chordata; Mammalia; Primates; Hominidae
Description: HSALNT0087072
Source: RNAcentral